AAAAAAGGUAAGCUACUAAGAGCGAAUGGUGGAUGCCUUGACUGGUAAAGGCGAUGAAGGACGUACUAGACUGCGAUAAGCUACGGGGAGCUGUCAAGAAGCUUUGAUCCGUAGAUUUCCGAAUGGGGCAACCCAAUGUAUAGAGAUAUACAUUACCUAUAUAGGAGCGAACGAGGGGAAUUGAAACAUCUUAGUACCCUCAGGAAAAGAAAUCAAUAGAGAUUGCGUCAGUAGCGGCGAGCGAAAGCGCAAGAGGGCAAACCCAGUGCUUGCACUGGGGGUUGUAGGACUGCAAUGUGCAAGAGGUAAGUUUAGCAGAACAUUCUGGAAAGUAUAACCAUAGAGGGUGAUAGUCCCGUAUGCGAAAAACAAACCUUAGCUAGCAGUAUCCUGAGUAGGGCGGGACACGAGGAAUCCUGUCUGAAUCCGGGUCGACCACGAUCCAACCCUAAAUACUAAUACCAGAUCGAUAGUGCACAAGUACCGUGAGGGAAAGGUGAAAAGAACUGAGGUGAUCAGAGUGAAAUAGAACCUGAAACCAUUUGCUUACAAUCAUUCAGAGCCCUAUGUAGCAAUACAGGGUGAUGGACUGCCUUUUGCAUAAUGAGCCUGCGAGUUGUGGUGUCUGGCAAGGUUAAGCAAACGCGAAGCCGUAGCGAAAGCGAGUCUGAAUAGGGCGCUUAGUCAGAUGCUGCAGACCCGAAACGAAGUGAUCUAUCCAUGAGCAAGUUGAAGCUAGUGUAAGAACUAGUGGAGGACUGAACCCAUAGGCGUUGAAAAGCCCCGGGAUGACUUGUGGAUAGGGGUGAAAGGCCAAUCAAACUUCGUGAUAGCUGGUUCUCUCCGAAAUAUAUUUAGGUAUAGCGUUGUGUCGUAAUAUAAGGGGGUAGAGCACUGAAUGGGCUAGGGCAUACACCAAUGUACCAAACCCUAUCAAACUCCGAAUACCUUAUAUGUAAUCACAGCAGUCAGGCGGCGAGUGAUAAAAUCCGUCGUCAAGAGGGAAACAACCCAGACUACCAGCUAAGGUCCCUAAAUCUUACUUAAGUGGAAAACGAUGUGAAGUUACUUAAACAACCAGGAGGUUGGCUUAGAAGCAGCCAUCCUUUAAAGAAAGCGUAAUAGCUCACUGGUCUAGUGAUUUUGCGCGGAAAAUAUAACGGGGCUAAAGUAAGUACCGAAGCUGUAGACUUGCACACAACUUAGAUUAUUUAAGUUUAGAAUAUGAGAAACUAAGUUAUAUGUUUAGUUAUAUUUUUACUGAUUUUUAUAGAGUAAAGAUAGAAAUAAAACUUAGUAAAAUCAGUAAAAAUAUUCUUAGACUAAAGUUAAGUAGUUUAAGUUGUGUGCAAGUGGUAGGAGAGCGUUCUAUUUGCGUCGAAGGUAUACCGGUAAGGAGUGCUGGAGCGAAUAGAAGUGAGCAUGCAGGCAUGAGUAGCGAUAAUUAAUGUGAGAAUCAUUAACGCCGUAAACCCAAGGUUUCCUACGCGAUGCUCGUCAUCGUAGGGUUAGUCGGGUCCUAAGUCGAGUCCGAAAGGGGUAGACGAUGGCAAAUUGGUUAAUAUUCCAAUACCAACAUUAGUGUGCGAUGGAAGGACGCUUAGGGCUAAGGGGGCUAGCGGAUGGAAGUGCUAGUCUAAGGUCGUAGGAGGUUGUACAGGCAAAUCCGUAUAACAAUACUCCGAGAACUGAAAGGCUUUUUGAAGUCUUCGGAUGGAUAGAAGAACCCCUGAUGCCGUCGAGCCAAGAAAAGUUUCUAAGUUUAGCUAAUGUUGCCCGUACCGUAAACCGACACAGGUGGGUGGGAUGAGUAUUCUAAGGCGCGUGGAAGAACUCUCUUUAAGGAACUCUGCAAAAUAGCACCGUAUCUUCGGUAUAAGGUGUGGUUAGCUUUGUAUUAGGAUUUACUCCGAAAGCAAGGAAACUUACAACAAAGAGUCCCUCCCGACUGUUUACCAAAAACACAGCACUCUGCUAACUCGUAAGAGGAUGUAUAGGGUGUGACGCCUGCCCGGUGCUCGAAGGUUAAUUGAUGGGGUUAGCAUUAGCGAAGCUCUUGAUCGAAGCCCGAGUAAACGGCGGCCGUAACUAUAACGGUCCUAAGGUAGCGAAAUUCCUUGUCGGUUAAAUACCGACCUGCAUGAAUGGCGUAACGAGAUGGGAGCUGUCUCAAAGAGGGAUCCAGUGAAAUUGUAGUGGAGGUGAAAAUUCCUCCUACCCGCGGCAAGACGGAAAGACCCCGUGGACCUUUACUACAGCUUGACACUGCUACUUGGAUAAGAAUGUGCAGGAUAGGUGGGAGGCUUUGAGUAUAUGACGCCAGUUGUAUAUGAGCCAUUGUUGAGAUACCACUCUUUCUUAUUUGGGUAGCUAACCAGCUUGAGUUAUCCUCAAGUGGGACAAUGUCUGGUGGGUAGUUUGACUGGGGCGGUCGCCUCCCAAAUAAUAACGGAGGCUUACAAAGGUUGGCUCAGAACGGUUGGAAAUCGUUCGUAGAGUAUAAAGGUAUAAGCCA
RNAcentral lists this ribosomal RNA (2515 nucleotides) under Campylobacter jejuni. RNAcentral describes it as "partial 23S ribosomal RNA". It matches the Rfam family "Bacterial large subunit ribosomal RNA", at positions 1 to 2366 of the family's 2925-position model. Lineage: Bacteria; Pseudomonadati; Campylobacterota; Epsilonproteobacteria; Campylobacterales; Campylobacteraceae. The record is from RNAcentral.